Long non-coding RNA from Canis lupus familiaris (dog), 1128 nucleotides. RefSeq lists it as uncharacterized. The record is from RefSeq and is a predicted model, not a curated record. Lineage: Eukaryota; Metazoa; Chordata; Mammalia; Carnivora; Canidae. The transcript has 3 exons.
CUGUGGAAGUGAAGAAUAUAGUCCAAAGGGCUGGUGUUAGAGCAGAGUUUAGAAGGGUGGUUAACAUUUUCCCCUUACAUAUAACUCAGAAAGACCUUCCAGGAGGAGGGAAUACUAAAAGUAAAAGCAUUUAUCUUUGGCAGCCCAUUACUAGAGCAUGAAGGAUUGGAUAUUCAGUGGUCUGUGGAAGGCAGGACAGUUAUGCACGAUCAAUUAGGUUAUAAAAGAUUUUGUAUGGCACGUAAAAGAGCCACUUGGACUUCCUCUAUUAGGCAAUGAGGAGGAAUCUUUGACAUAUUUUAAGACCAACCAUGUGUUUAAAUGUUUUUCUCUGAUUACAGUAGGAAGGGUAGAUUUGAAAUGGAUCAAUCAAGGAAUUGUCUGAAGUACACAAUUAUUGAUUUCGUGUGUCAACUUGGCUAGGUCACAAUAUCCAGAUAUUUAGUCAAACAUUGUUCUGAAUGUUGUUGAAGAUUUUUUUUAGAUGAGUUUGCUAUUUAAAUUGGUAGGCUUUACAUAAAGCAGAUUACUCUUCAUAGUGGUGGUGGGCCUCAUCCAGUCAUUUAAAGGCCUUGAGGGAAAAAUAGACCAAUUUCCCCAAAGUAGAGGGAAUUCUGUCAGAGACAGCCUUCGGACUUGGGCUGCAACACCAAGUCCUCCUGAAGUGUCUAGCCUGGUGGCUACCUGGAAGAUUUUGUACCUGCCCUGCCUCCACAAUUAGGAGACUCUGAGGAUGAUCCAGUAUACUCCCAGGUGUCUAUAAACUAAAAUUCUAUGCAUAUCCCAGCUACUUUUGGAAUACUGCAUUACAGACAAAUUGAAGAUUUUUGGCAACCCUGAGGCAAGGAAGUCUAUUUGUGCCAUUUUUUUCCAACAGUAUUUGUUCAUCUGUAUUUCUUUGUCACAUUUAGUUAUUCUCACAAUAUUUCAAACUUUUUCAUUAAUAUUAUAUCUGCCAUGGUAAUCUGUGAUUAGUAGAUCUUUGGUGUUACUAAUAACUGUUUUGGUGCACCACUGAAAUUAGGCUGAUUAAAAACCCUGCAAUGACUUGUGAUGAGCAUCAGCUAUUGUAUGGAAUUGUUGAAUUCUUAUAUUUAUUGUACACCUGAAACUAAUUUUACAUUCUAU